RNAcentral lists this ribosomal RNA (460 nucleotides) under uncultured bacterium. Its description in RNAcentral is "partial 16S ribosomal RNA". It matches the Rfam family "Bacterial small subunit ribosomal RNA", at positions 338 to 795 of the family's 1533-position model. The record is from RNAcentral.
CCUACGGGAGGCAGCAGUGAGGAAUAUUGGUCAAUGGGCUUACGCCUGAACCAGCCAAGUCGCGUGAGGGAAGACUGCCCUAUGGGUUGUAAACCUCUUUUGUAAGGGAGCAACGCCGGCUACGUGUAGCCGGUCUUAGAGUCCCUGAAGAAAAAGCAUCGGCUAACUCCGUGCAAGCAGCCGCGGUAAUACGGAGGCUGCGAGCGUUAUCCGGAUUUAUUGGGUUUAAAGGGUGCGUAGGCGGAAUGCCAAGUCAGCGGUAAACUCUAGGGGCUCAACCUCGCUCCGCAGUUGAGACUGGCGUUCUUGAGUGGGCGAGAGGUAUGCGGAAUGCGUGGUGUAGCGGUGAAAUGCAUAGAUAUCACGAAGAACUCCGAUUGCGAAGGCAGCAUACCGGCGCCCAACUGACGCUGAAGCACGAAAGCGUGGGUAUCGAACAGGAUUAGAUACCCCUGUAGUC